UAAUACAUUGUUCACCAGAAGGUCCCUUAGAACAGUGGGUUGGUGGGGGCCACCAUCUCAGCUGCCCUCCUCUCCCGUGCAUCCAGCGAGGGUCUGAUGGGUCUGACAAGCCCGCAGGCCUGGCUUCUGUCCUCUGGGUUUGAUAGGUCCCCACAUUCCUGGGCCUCUGAUUUGACUGGAUGAGUUUGCAGGUGGCAUUUUUGGGGGGCAGCUCAUGGCAAAACGCCGCUUUACAAUUUGGUGCAACUCAGGACGAGGCACGGCCUGAAACUGCCGUUCUGUCCAACGCCGAGUAACUCAGAGGAGGGUGCAGCCUGCUAUGCAAUGACAGCACCCGGUCCCAAGUCCCUGACACGCAGUGCUCAGGCUGCUCGGAUCAGGCACAAUCACGCUGUUUAAGACCCGUGCCCUCCAAAAUAAAAUACAACACUGUGCCAUUAAA
Ictidomys tridecemlineatus (thirteen-lined ground squirrel) is the source of this 442-nucleotide non-coding RNA. The record is from RefSeq and is a predicted model, not a curated record. Lineage: Eukaryota; Metazoa; Chordata; Mammalia; Rodentia; Sciuridae.